This is a long non-coding RNA of Cyprinus carpio carpio, 1484 nucleotides long. Lineage: Eukaryota; Metazoa; Chordata; Actinopteri; Cypriniformes; Cyprinidae. The record is from Ensembl.
AGAAGCAAACAGAGACCUUCUGACAUCAAUAAAUUGGCACUGUACGAAGACCUCCCAAUGCUUGAUAUGGAGCACGGUGGGGAUAAACGAUCUGUGUCAGCCCUGCUGGGGUCCAUAUGGUCUAUCACAAGGUUCUCACUCUACAUCACAUCCGUGAGCUAUAGAUGAACACAGGCUGUCUGUUUACCAGUCAUCCUUCAGAAAAACUUAUGAGGGCCAGCGGAACAGAAAGUGAGACACAGUUGUCUUGGGUUUUGGACUUGGCCUCCCUCCAGCUGUGUGUCCUUCCCCUGCCAUCCUUACUGAAGCUCCGGCUGCACUGGCAGGCUGGGGAAUGCUUUGAAUGUUAAUGAAAUAUGUCAUCGUGAGUUGUCUCAGUAAUUAAUUGUUCACAUCACAUAUUUGAAAGGCCACCAGGAAGCAGUCCCAGUGGCACUGUGGCACGUUGCCUGUCUCAGAAUAGAGCUCCACUUUGAGGCUGGAAUCAGAGUGCAACUCUUGAAGCCUAAAUAGUAAUAUAAGCAGCCUUUGCUGUGUGAACAUAAUAAAAAGCACAGGUGGUAUUUGAAUAAACUUUUUUUUUUUUUUUUUACUACACCAUAAGCACCACCAAACCCCUUCACUCCUAACCCUAUCUUCUCUCUUCCAUUUUAUAUAUUAUAACCAUAGCAUUUAAUGCUUAUGUAUAUAAAUACAACAUAUUGUGUCAGGAGUAGCAAAUGAUAGACACAGUGGGUGUGGUGUCAGGCCUUGGAGAGGCUUUUACUAAACACAAAAUCAACAUAAAGUGUCCGAAACGAGGAAUAAAGUGUCCAAAAUCAGCAGGGGAUCUGGUGUCAUUGUCAUGGUGAGGAAGUCGUGAAGGGAAGGGCAGUGUUCAGGAAGGAGGAGUCCAGACAAGGGGCUGAGUCUGGUGGCCACACGCGCUCCCCACUUUGGUCCGGGGAGCGAGGGGGCGGCGGCUUCUUCUAGCGCUGGGUUCCUCAAUUAGUUUUCACAGAUGGCCAAAUUCUGCCAACAAUACCAAGCCAAGGGCCACUGACCUAUAUAUAUAUACAUUUUUGCAUUUAGAUACAGAAGAACCUUGCCUGUUGAAUAUUAAAAACAAAUGAACAAACAAAAAAUCUGGAUCUCCAUGUUUGCCAUGCAAAUCAACUAUUUCUGCUCAUCUCCAGACUGGUUCUCUUUUCUCCACUUUCUCUAAGUGCAGAUUCAAUUAUUAGAUCUGUUAGCAUUAAUAUUUUAUACUUAGAUUUUUUGGGAGGAUCAAACUGUAACACAGUGUGUCCAAACCAGACAUGACACGAUGCAAUAAAAAGUAUCUUUUCCAUGUAGUUUUUGUCCUAACCACCGCGACACAUGACAGUAAGCGAAAUGGAAUUCUUUUUUAGAAAUUAUUUUUUAGGUUUUUAUUUUCUGCGAUGGAACAACAUACAAAAUAUGACAGUGAUACUCUCAGGUAAUGAUUAUGUGCUUUAUUCAAU